This 464-nucleotide ribosomal RNA is filed under the name Vreelandella stevensii. RNAcentral describes it as "partial 16S ribosomal RNA". It matches the Rfam family "Bacterial small subunit ribosomal RNA", at positions 339 to 795 of the family's 1533-position model. The record is from RNAcentral. Lineage: Bacteria; Pseudomonadati; Pseudomonadota; Gammaproteobacteria; Oceanospirillales; Halomonadaceae.
AUACGGGGGGCUGCAGUGGGGAAUAUUGGACAAUGGGCGAAAGCCUGAUCCAGCCAUGCCGCGUGUGUGAAGAAGGCCUUCGGGUUGUAAAGCACUUUCAGUGGGGAAGAAAGCCUUGGGGCUAAUACCCUCGAGGAAGGACAUCACCCACAGAAGAAGCACCGGCUAACUCCGUGCCAGCAGCCGCGGUAAUACGGAGGGUGCGAGCGUUAAUCGGAAUUACUGGGCGUAAAGCGCGCGUAGGCGGUCUGAUAAGCCGGUUGUGAAAGCCCCGGGCUCAACCUGGGAACGGCAUCCGGAACUGUCAGGCUAGAGUGCAGGAGAGGAAGGUAGAAUUCCCGGUGUAGCGGUGAAAUGCGUAGAGAUCGGGAGGAAUACCAGUGGCGAAGGCGGCCUUCUGGACUGACACUGACGCUGAGGUGCGAAAGCGUGGGUAGCAAACAGGAUUAGAUACCCUAGUAGUC